UAGGGAAUCUUCCGCAAUGGGCGAAAGCCUGACGGAGCAACGCCGCGUGAGUGAUGAAGGUCUUCGGAUCGUAAAACUCUGUUAUUAGGGAAGAACAAAUGUGUAAGUAACUAUGCACGUCUUGACGGUACCUAAUCAGAAAGCCACGGCUAACUACGGGCCAGCAGCCGCGGUAAUACGUAGGUGGCAAGCGUUAUCCGGAAUUAUUGGGCGUAAAGCGCGCGUAGGCGGUUUUUUAAGUCUGAUGUGAAAGCCCACGGCUCAACCGUGGAGGGUCAUUGGAAACUGGAAAACUUGAGUGCAGAAGAGGAAAGUGGAAUUCCAUGUGUAGCGGUGAAAUGCGCAGAGAUAUGGAGGAACACCAGUGGCGAAGGCGACUUUCUGGUCUGUAACUGACGCUGAUGUGCGAAAGCGUGGGGAUCAAACAGG
This 429-nucleotide ribosomal RNA is filed under the name Actinomycetes bacterium. RNAcentral describes it as "Actinobacteria bacterium partial 16S ribosomal RNA". It matches the Rfam family "Bacterial small subunit ribosomal RNA", at positions 355 to 776 of the family's 1533-position model. The record is from RNAcentral. Lineage: Bacteria; Bacillati; Actinomycetota; Actinomycetes.